AGCAGCAGCCGCGGUAAUACGUAGGUGGCAAGCGUUGUCCGGAAUUAUUGGGCGUAAAGGGCUCGCAGGCGGUUUCUUAAGUCUGAUGUGAAAGCCCCCGGCUCAACCGGGGAGGGUCAUUGGAAACUGGGAAACUUGAGUGCAGAAGAGGAGAGUGGAAUUCCCCGUGUAGCGGUGAAAUGCGUAGAGAUGUGGAGGAACACCAGUGGCGAAGGCGACUCUCUGGUCUGUAACUGACGCUGAGGAGCGAAAGCGUGGGGAGCGAACAGGAUUAGAUACCCCGGUAGUCCCUGUCUCUUAUAA
This 303-nucleotide ribosomal RNA is filed under the name uncultured bacterium. RNAcentral's name for it is "partial 16S ribosomal RNA". It matches the Rfam family "Bacterial small subunit ribosomal RNA", at positions 507 to 809 of the family's 1533-position model. The record is from RNAcentral.